UGAGAAAAUAGAGGAAAGGAGUUUCCUUCUCGAAUUCCUGAUGGCAAAAUCCCGACAGCGAAAUGUGAAUUCAAUUAGGGAACAAAGAGCUGCGUCGCUUUUCUCAUCGAAGGCAAAAAUGAUCGUUCUUUUUUUUUUUUGUUGUGGGUAGAGAUGGUUAGCCCGUUCUGCAUCGAUGAGGUGGAAUCCCCAUGACGCUAGACGAGAAGUAGGACUUCCAAAGAAUACAGUUUGAAGGAUUACAUAUGAAAUUCCGGGUAUGCGUCAUUAGGAAGAAUUUGAAUCAUCUUGAGGAGAAAAAUCUGGUUCAUGACUCAGGAAGUUUCUCAUAUAAGAAUGACUCUGUGGUAUAAAGAGAGAAAAAAAAUGAUUUUAUUUUGACACCGUGACCUAAGCAUAUCCUCUUAAGGGACAAUAAGUAUUUACGUGCAACAACGUCAUUAAGAUGUGUUUUUCAACAACCGGAUAUGUGGCUUGCAUUCGAGAGGUAUGGUGGAAUUUCUCUUUAAUAACUUCCCGUCUGAUGUCAAAAGGUGCUUUGUGAACCAACAUGUACAACGAAAAGAGAGAAAGGAAUACGAGGCCUUUUUUUAGUCACACAAAGAAUGGCAGUUUAUCUUAAAUUCGAGUUUAAGUGCAGACCUGACGAAGCUAAAUUCAGACUACGCGACUUUGUCUGCCAGUAUAAGGAGAACGUGUGGCAACCCUUAAUGCCGAUGAAUCCUGCAACGCACAUUUAUAGAAUGUGAGAACUCACACAUAUUACGCCGAAUGCACAUAGGGACAAUUUGGCAUUAGAUAUAGGCUGACAGAUGCUUUCCCGAGGAUUAUGGAGACUAGGAGUCGGAUUAUUGAGUCGACUUUGCGAGCUCAGUCGUGCAUUAUAAAAAAGCAUGUCUCCCACACAAUUACUUAUAAAGACUUUGCACAAGCACAGGAAAAAAUUGCCCUUUACCUUGUGAAGGGAGAAAAUUCUCAAGUUGCUCGUUUUCUCUAAAUUUUACCUCUACGACUUUCUAGGGGUCAACCAUUUUUAUCGUCCAAAGGCAAUGUACUCCAAAAGUUUCUGUCUGGAAAAUAAG
Leptopilina heterotoma is the source of this 1082-nucleotide long non-coding RNA. RefSeq lists it as uncharacterized. The transcript has 4 exons. Lineage: Eukaryota; Metazoa; Arthropoda; Insecta; Hymenoptera; Figitidae. The record is from RefSeq and is a predicted model, not a curated record.